This 1500-nucleotide ribosomal RNA is filed under the name metagenome. Its description in RNAcentral is "bacterial SSU rRNA". It matches the Rfam family "Bacterial small subunit ribosomal RNA". The record is from RNAcentral.
AGAGUUUGAUCAUGGCUCAGAUUGAACGCUGGCGGCAGGCCUAACACAUGCAAGUCGAACGGUAACAGGAAGAAGCUUGCUUCUUUGCUGACGAGUGGCGGACGGGUGAGUAAUGUCUGGGAAACUGCCUGAUGGAGGGGGAUAACUACUGGAAACGGUAGCUAAUACCGCAUAACGUCGCAAGACCAAAGAGGGGGACCUUCGGGCCUCUUGCCAUCGGAUGUGCCCAGAUGGGAUUAGCUAGUAGGUGGGGUAACGGCUCACCUAGGCGACGAUCCCUAGCUGGUCUGAGAGGAUGACCAGCCACACUGGAACUGAGACACGGUCCAGACUCCUACGGGAGGCAGCAGUGGGGAAUAUUGCACAAUGGGCGCAAGCCUGAUGCAGCCAUGCCGCGUGUAUGAAGAAGGCCUUCGGGUUGUAAAGUACUUUCAGCGGGGAGGAAGGGAGUAAAGUUAAUACCUUUGCUCAUUGACGUUACCCGCAGAAGAAGCACCGGCUAACUCCGUGCCAGCAGCCGCGGUAAUACGGAGGGUGCAAGCGUUAAUCGGAAUUACUGGGCGUAAAGCGCACGCAGGCGGUUUGUUAAGUCAGAUGUGAAAUCCCCGGGCUCAACCUGGGAACUGCAUCUGAUACUGGCAAGCUUGAGUCUCGUAGAGGGGGGUAGAAUUCCAGGUGUAGCGGUGAAACGCGUAGAGAUCUGGAGGAAUACCGGUGGCGAAGGCGGCCCCCUGGACGAAGACUGACGCUCAGGUGCGAAAGCGUGGGGAGCAAACAGGAUUAGAUACCCUGGUAGUCCACGCCGUAAACGAUGUCGACUUGGAGGUUGUGCCCUUGAGGCGUGGCUUCCGGAGCUAACGCGUUAAGUCGACCGCCUGGGGAGUACGGCCGCAAGGUUAAAACUCAAAUGAAUUGACGGGGGCCCGCACAAGCGGUGGAGCAUGUGGUUUAAUUCGAUGCAACGCGAAGAACCUUACCUGGUCUUGACAUCCACGGAAGUUUUCAGAGAUGAGAAUGUGCCUUCGGGAACCGUGAGACAGGUGCUGCAUGGCUGUCGUCAGCUCGUGUUGUGAAAUGUUGGGUUAAGUCCCGCAACGAGCGCAACCCUUAUCCUUUGUUGCCAGCGGUCCGGCCGGGAACUCAAAGGAGACUGCCAGUGAUAAACUGGAGGAAGGUGGGGAUGACGUCAAGUCAUCAUGUCCCUUACGACCAGGGCUACACGCGUGCUACAAUGGCGCAUACAAAGAGAAGCGACCUCGCGAGAGCAAGCGGACCUCAUAAAGUGCGUCGUAGUCCGGAUUGGAGUCUGCAACUCGACUCCAUGAAGUCGGAAUCGCUAGUAAUCGUGGAUCAGAAUGCCACGGUGAAUACGUUCCCGGGCCUUGUACACACCGCCCGUCACACCAUGGGAGUGGGUUGCAAAAGAAGUAGGUAGCUUAACCUUCGGGAGGGCGCUUACCACUUUGUGAUUCAUGACUGGGGUGAAGUCGUAACAAGGUA